UACGGAGGGUGCAAGCAUUAAUCGGAUUUAUUGGGCGUAAAGGGCGCGUAGGCGGCCGCAUAAGUCAGAUGUGAAAUCCUGGGGCUCAACCUCAGAACAGCAUUUGAAACUAUGUGGCUAGAGGGUAGUCGGAGAAAACGGAAUUCCACAAGUAGCGGUGAAAUGCGUAGAUAUGUGGAAGAACAUCUGUGGCGAAGGCGGUUUUCUAGAUUACUCCUGACGCUGAGGCGCGAAAGCAAGGGGAGCAAACAGG
RNAcentral lists this ribosomal RNA (253 nucleotides) under uncultured Parachlamydia sp. RNAcentral's name for it is "partial 16S ribosomal RNA". It matches the Rfam family "Bacterial small subunit ribosomal RNA", at positions 524 to 776 of the family's 1533-position model. The record is from RNAcentral. Lineage: Bacteria; Pseudomonadati; Chlamydiota; Chlamydiia; Parachlamydiales; Parachlamydiaceae.